CCGGCGACCGGCGCACGGGUGAGUAACACGUAUGCAACCUGGCCGCCACAGGGGGAUAACCCGCGGAAACGCGGCCUAAUACCCCGUGACGCCACCGGAGGGCAUCCUCCGGUGGCCAAAGGAGCGAUCCGGUGGCGGAUGGGCAUGCGGCGCAUUAGCUAGACGGCGGGGCGACGGCCCACCGUGGCGACGAUGCGUAGGGGUUCUGAGAGGAAGGCCCCCCACACUGGGACUGAGACACGGCCCAGACUCCUACGGGAGGCAGCAG
This 268-nucleotide ribosomal RNA is filed under the name uncultured bacterium. RNAcentral's name for it is "partial 16S ribosomal RNA". It matches the Rfam family "Bacterial small subunit ribosomal RNA", at positions 88 to 354 of the family's 1533-position model. The record is from RNAcentral.